AUAUAUCCCGAUCCUUUCACCGUCUUCCUUUCAUCUCCCACCGCUUUUUCAUCUCCAUCCUUCCACAAGGUUUCUCUUAGCAGAUCCUCUAUUCGCACACCGAUGAGGAGCACGAACGCAACAGAUCAGGGAGGUGGGGAGGAUGGUUCGAUGGUGGCAAAUCUGUUGAGUAGGGGGGUAGUUGACCUCCGGUCGCCCCUUUGUGGUGUACUCUUCGUCUGGUAGAGAGAGAGAGAGAGAGAGGGAAAAAAGAAAAACGAACGGAAAUACAUAAGAAAGAAAAAAGAGAACGAAUGGAGACGGUUCUGACCACCGAAGAGGGCAGCAGUGGCGUCCGGUCGGAGAUGUCGAGGAAUCGACAUACAAGAAGAAUCAGGAAGGUAAACAUAGCUUCAAAAAUCCCCGAUUAAAAACCCUAUCGACUCCUGCAUCUGGGUUCUUGAAAAAUUUCAUUUAUCGGAGGCUCGGGGUUCGCGUCGGACUUUCCAGAGCAGUGUAAAACUCCUUCUCCGAUAUCAUCAGUGCUGAUCCGUCCAAAUUAGGUAGAUUAAGGCACCCAAGACCGAUAAAGUGUUCCAUGGCGAUUAAACGCUAAUCUAUAUGGUAUGUAGUCUUCGUCAACGAGAUGUUAGUCUUAAUUAGAGACGACGUCGAAUUUCAGGUGGACAAGCAUAUUUUCAAUCCUUUAUCAAUUUGAUUAUUUUUCUUUUCUAAAUUCUCACAAUCGCCUGCAUCAGUCUCCAUCAAUUACUUUAUCUGUUUUUGAUCAAUAACUUCUUUUCUAUGACUCUUCCAUCCCUCUUUCAGGUUAGCGUUUUGCUUAAUAGGAUGUAGAUUAAUGGUUGUUUGUAAGUAAUUCUUCAGAAUCACAGGAAUAGAGCAAAAUGUGCGACCAUUUGAGAAGCAACAGCGACAGGGGAGUCAUGAUUCACGAUCAAAACUCCCGAUUUUCCAUCAACGGAAAACCCAUUUUCCAUAUCGUCCCAUUUUUGGCUUGGGAGCUGUGGGGCUUGCUUUGCUGAAGGUGCUAGAGUUGCAGGUGCUUCAAGGAUCAUUAGUGUUGAUCUCAAUGCCAACAGAUUUGAGCUCGGAGUUGAAUCAAUUGCAGUGCCUUGCCAAAAUAUCAGUCAACAUGCUCUGAAUCCAUUCGCUCAACGUUGUGUUCUCGAUACCUGCUUCUUUCAUCAGCUCCAUCACAUGAGGUGACGUAUUGGGACCCUGGAUCAGCAGAAAGGGCUUGUGAAGACCCCAACCCCGUGAUGGAUGAGGAAGAGGUAACUAUAAUAUCGAAUCUAUUGGUCGUCCUCGAGCUUCUCCUCAAGGAAGGAAUCAACGUGGGAAUAUUGCAUUUCAAGGGACAAAUACAAUGGCCCAAGGUGCAUCAUCAUCUUACAAUGGUGUAGAACCACCACUUGCUCCUCCUCUUCCACCACCACCUUCCGUCAUGUACCCACCGUAUCGUUGCUGCCAAUGGGUCGGUGUUGGACGUGCUUUCUUUGCCUUGUAUGCUGGUGUUUUUCUUGAAUGAACUAAGAACUUGAGUUGAAACUCAUUUAAUUUCUGAGUUCAGGUUUAUUAGUUAAUGAUGUACACCAACAUUUUGAAUUCCUAUUACUUGUAAAUAUGAUUUUUGACUUCCACCA
Lactuca sativa (garden lettuce) is the source of this 1643-nucleotide non-coding RNA. Lineage: Eukaryota; Viridiplantae; Streptophyta; Magnoliopsida; Asterales; Asteraceae. The record is from RefSeq and is a predicted model, not a curated record.